AUGGCCGAGUACAUCGGGCGCAUGAAGGCGCUCGGUGUUGAGAUGGCAUCGGUGGGCAAGCCGCUCACCGACGACGACAUGGUGUCCUACAUCCUGGCGGGACUCGACUACGACUACAUGUCCUUUGUCUCCAUGAUCUGUGCUCGGACUCAGCAAAUCAAGGUGAGCGAGCUUUACUCGCAGCUGAUCAACUUUGAAAGCAGAUUGGCUAUGUUUGAAGGCGGAGGGCAGUCCUCCCACUCCUCUGCCAACGCCGUGUCUUGGCAGACGCGGUGGAUCCAACCAUGGCGGUGGCCGCGCUGGCAACGGUGGCCGCAAUGGAGGCGGCCGUGGCAACGGCUGUGGUGGUCGUGUUGUGGCGGCGGCCGCGGCAAUGGAGUUGCAGUAUCAAACAAUUGGAGUCUUCAUCAAUUGGAUGUGUAG
This 423-nucleotide ribosomal RNA is filed under the name Triticum aestivum (bread wheat). RNAcentral describes it as "partial small subunit ribosomal RNA". The stretch from base 61 to 199 matches the Rfam family "Small nucleolar RNA Z247". Lineage: Eukaryota; Viridiplantae; Streptophyta; Magnoliopsida; Poales; Poaceae. The record is from RNAcentral.